GAUGAACGCUGGCGGCGUGCCUAACACAUGCAAGUCGAACGGAGUCCAGCCUUUAAGACCUUCGGGUCAAAGGGGGGAAGACUGAGUGGCGGACGGGUGAGUAACACGUGGGCAACCUGGCUCAUAGAGGGGGAUAACAGAGAGAAAUUUCUGCUAAUACCGCAUAAGCACACCCUGCCGCAUGGCAGAGGGUGAAAAGAGAAUCGCUAUGAGAUGGACCCGCGUCUGAUUAGCCAGUUGGCAGGGUAAGAGCCUACCAAAGCGACGAUCAGUAGCCGAUCUGAGAGGAUGAACGGCCACAUUGGGACUGAGACACGGCCCAAACUCCUACGGGAGGCAGCAGUGGGGGAUAUUGCACAAUGGGGGGAACCCUGAUGCAGCGACGCCGCGUGAGUGAAGAAGUAUUUCGGUAUGUAAAGCUCUAUCAGCAGGGAAGAUAAUGACAGUACCUGAAUAAGAAGCCCCGGCUAACUACGUG
RNAcentral lists this ribosomal RNA (478 nucleotides) under uncultured bacterium. RNAcentral's name for it is "partial 16S ribosomal RNA". It matches the Rfam family "Bacterial small subunit ribosomal RNA", at positions 28 to 507 of the family's 1533-position model. The record is from RNAcentral.